This 289-nucleotide ribosomal RNA is filed under the name uncultured bacterium. RNAcentral's name for it is "partial 16S ribosomal RNA". The stretch from base 55 to 289 matches the Rfam family "Bacterial small subunit ribosomal RNA", at positions 47 to 282 of the family's 1533-position model. The record is from RNAcentral.
CCUGUCGUAGGUAUGCUUCUGGAAGCCAUGGCGUCCGCGGGAAUUGGAUUCAGACCUAUCACAUACAAGUCGAACGGCAGCGCGGGUGAAUGCACUAGUUAGUGAGUGGUGACAGGGUGAGUAAUAUAUCGGCAUGUGCCCUAGAGUGGGGGAUAAUGUAUCGAAAGUUACAAUAAUCCCGCAUGUGAUGUAUGGAUGAAAGUGGGGGGCCGCAAGGCCUCACGAUAUUGGAGCGUCAGAUAUCUGAUUACCUAGUAGGUGGGGUAAAAGCAUAACAAGGUGACGAUCA